AUUCCAGCUCCAAUAGCGUAUAUUAAAGUUGUUGCGGUUAAAAAGCUCGUAGUUGGAUUUCUGCCGAGGAUGACCGGUCCGCCCUGUGGGUGUGCAUCUGGCUCAGCCUUGGCAUCUUCCUGAAGAACGUAGCUGCACUUGACUGUGUGGUGCGGUAUUUAGGACAUUUACUUUGAGGAAAUUAGAGUGUUUCAAGCAAGCGCACGCUUUGAAUACAUUAGCAUGGAAUAAUAAGAUAGGACCUCGGUUCUAUUUUGUUGGUUUCUAGUACUGAAGUAUGAUUGAUAGGGAUAGUUGGGGGUGCUAGUAUUGGCCGGCCAGAGGUGAAAUUCUUGGAUUCGGUCAAGACUAACUUAUGCGAAAGCAUUCACCAAGGAUGUCUUCAUCA
This 388-nucleotide ribosomal RNA is filed under the name Dinophyceae sp. Its description in RNAcentral is "partial small subunit ribosomal RNA". It matches the Rfam family "Eukaryotic small subunit ribosomal RNA", at positions 582 to 975 of the family's 1831-position model. Lineage: Eukaryota; Dinophyceae. The record is from RNAcentral.